This is a long non-coding RNA of Manacus vitellinus (golden-collared manakin), 445 nucleotides long. RefSeq lists it as uncharacterized. The record is from RefSeq and is a predicted model, not a curated record. The transcript has 4 exons. NCBI's taxonomy places the organism in Eukaryota, Metazoa, Chordata, Aves, Passeriformes, Pipridae.
AAACUGAAAUUAAUACCUUUAAAACAAAAUUUUGCUUUCAGGGUUGUUUUCAAGAGUAUUGUUUGACCUCUUCUACCAAAGCAGUUUGGCUUUAUUGCAGGGUAAACACUUCUAGGCUGAAUGAAAUUCCAUUGCAUCUAGUAAUGACCACAUUUCUUCCUUCAUUGGAGAUAACAGCAUCAAAGGUACUUUCUGAAAUCACAAAGAUAACCAGCGGGGAAGUCUGUGUAUGAAAUGUUCCUUUCCAAUAGCCCAUUCCCCUGUCUGCACCAUUCUGUGGAUGUUACCACUUGGACAAUUGAAUCAAAGAGCAAGAAGCCUGUGAACAGUGUUUCCCUGGAGAAACUGGUUGCUCAUGGCUCGGACAAGUGCACUAUUCCCUGGGUUAAAAAUUCACUGGAUGGUUGGAACCAGAGAGCGCUGGUUUCCCACUUCCCAUGUUGUU